This 1864-nucleotide ribosomal RNA is filed under the name Rhodomonas sp. CCMP768. Its description in RNAcentral is "Eukaryotic small subunit ribosomal RNA". Lineage: Eukaryota; Cryptophyceae; Pyrenomonadales; Pyrenomonadaceae. The record is from RNAcentral.
AUUCAAUGCCCAUGCCCAAUUAAGUGGCAAGGACCUCUUACCUAUUUAAAGUUUGAGAAUAGGUCGAGGAUGUUUCACCCCCGAGGCCUCUAAUCAUUCGCUUUACCUGAUAAAACUUGUAUGAGCUCCAGCUAUCCUAAGGGAAACUUCGGAGGGAACCAGCUACUAGAUGGUUCGAUUAGUCUUUCGCCGCUAUACCCAAAUUUGACGAACGAUUUGCACGUCAGUACCGCUACGAGCCUCCACCAGAGUUUCCUCUGGCUUCACCCUAUUCAGGCAUAGUUCACCAUCUUUCGGGUCCCAACAAAUAUGCUCUUACUCAAACCUUUCACUGAUGAUCCUGGUCGGUCGAUGGUGCAUCUUACGAAUCCCACCUACGUUUACUUUCAUUGCGCAUCCAAGGUUUGCCACCUUACUACUUGCAUACGUGUUAGACUCCUUGGUCCGUGUUCCAAGACGGGCUGAUUGAAGCCAUUGUGCCAGCAUCUUCAGAACGCAGAUCCUGCAACCCAAAUAUCAACCACAGUGCAGACAACACUCCGAAGAGUGUUGGACUACAAUAUAGAAGGAUUUAGGCCGGGCGCUGUGCGCGUUCUUUGUGCCUCAGUCUCAGGCUGGGUUUCCCACUUAUCAAUCACUAGGUUUCAUGGUAAAUGUAGUCUCCCCAACCUCAAACUGAUGCUGACCAACUACCAAAGGCUUCAUUGCGAGGAUAAAUCCCUGCCAUUUGUCUUUGAUAGUAUGAUAUGCUCCAAUCACUUCUCCUCUUAACAAUUUCAAGCCCUUUUUCACUCUCUUUUCAAAGUUCUUUCCAUCUUUCCUUCACAGUACUUGUUCGCUAUCGGUCUCUCGCCAAUAUUUAGCUUUAGAUGAAGUUUACCACCCAUUUUGACCUGCAUUCCCAAGCAAGCCGACUCGCUGGUGCCUGCUCGCCACGCACAACAUUCAGGGUCGAAGACGGGGCUCUAACCCUCUCUGGCACCCAGUUCCAUGAACGGAUUUACACCCGAAGUUGCACGAGUCUGCACCUAUAGACUACAAUUCCGAAGAUUUUCAGCUUGAGCUCUUCCCGGUUCACUCGCCGUUACUAGGGGAAUCCUGGUUAGUUUCUUUUCCUCCGCUUAGUGAUAUGCUUAAGUUCAGCGGGUAAUCUCGACUGAUCUGAGGACGAGUCCUGGAGUUUUGACACAAAGCUGUCAAGCUCCUUGCCAUUCUACUGUUUCCAAGGGCCUACUUUGCGAUUCCGCAACGGCCAAUGAUGUUGCUCCUCGAAAGGCUGCUACAUCAUAGCACAGUGGGAAACUUCAGCCUUUUCCGCAGUGCGAUUUUCAAUUGACGCAGCUCGCGAGCUGUGACAGUCAGUUACCACCUUGUCAAACAAAGUGAUGUUGUUGGGUACCGUCCCUCAGACAGACGUACUCAUGCAAAAAACAUGAGUGCAAUAUGCGUUCAAAGUUUCGAUGAUUCACUGAGCCCUGCAAUUCACACUACAUAUCGCAUUUCGCUGCGUUCUUCAUCGUUGCGAGAACCAAGAUAUCCAUUGUUAAGAGUUGUUUAUGAAUUAAACAGAUUGCACAUAUGUGCAAACACUUCAGUCAUUUGAUGUGUAAAAAUAACGACUUCCACCAGCAGGUUAUCAACCACAGCGUCCUUUGAUGCAAGAACAGAACAACUGGUGGACGCCGCCCAGGAAGCAAAACGCGCAAAUUUGCAUCGACUUUGCAAGGGCCUGGGAUUCUCCGGUUCACUAGGGUUGGUAUGGAUUGGGUGUCAAUGAUCCUUCCGCAGGUUCACCUACGGAAACCUUGUUACGACUUCUCCUUCCUCUAAAUGAUAAGGUUCAAUCAACUUCUCGCAACUAAGA